UACGUAGGGGGCCAGCGUUGUCCGGAAUCAUUGGGCGUAAAGCGCGCGUAGGCGGCCAGAUAAGUCCGGUGUGAAAGUCAAAGGCUCAACCUUUGAAUGCCGCUGGAAACUGCCUGGCUUGAGUCCGGAAGGGGCGAGUGGAAUUCCUGGUGUAGCGGUGAAAUGCGCAGAUAUCAGGAGGAACACCAACGGCGAAGGCAGCUCGCUGGAACGGUACUGACGCUGAGGCGCGAAAGCGUGGGGAGCGAACAGG
RNAcentral lists this ribosomal RNA (253 nucleotides) under uncultured bacterium. RNAcentral describes it as "partial 16S ribosomal RNA". It matches the Rfam family "Bacterial small subunit ribosomal RNA", at positions 524 to 776 of the family's 1533-position model. The record is from RNAcentral.